Molecule: long non-coding RNA, 743 nt
Filed under: Oryctolagus cuniculus (rabbit)
Lineage: Eukaryota; Metazoa; Chordata; Mammalia; Lagomorpha; Leporidae
Description: lncRNA (ENSOCUG00000032981.1)
Source: RNAcentral
GAUCCCAGCCUUCUCUAUGUUUGCUGAGUCUAGCUGUGCAAGUCUUCAUUAUCUCCGGUAAUGGGUAUGGGUUCUUUCACCAACCCAUACUUGAUGGCUUUAUGGGGUUCUCUCCAAGAUUCAGGCUUUACAAGUUGCAAUCCUCAAGAGCUCUUACUCUUUAAAGUCCAAGUUUAAAUCAUGACCCAGAGGUCCUAGAACAGCACAGAGCACAUGGUGUUUUCUUUCCUACUACUUGUGUUCAGGGUUAUCACUCGUCAUGCUUAGGCACCACUGUGGCCUCACAGGAUGAAAGCUCCCUCCACUUACGUUCUCCUCUCUUGCUCGUGAAUUGUACUGUUUCUUUGCAGGUGAAUCUUAAGUAGGCCCUGAAAAGAGGAACUCAUGGUCAGAUUUCACCCUUGGCUCCCAAGUGAAUGACGCAGAACACCGUGGAAAGCCGUGUCAACACAAUCACUGUCACUAAUGAUUAUUUAUCCAGUUCCAACCCUGCUGCUCUUCUCUGCAGGCUGUGUGCUGGCGAGCGCUGCGUGGGUAACAAAUACGGGUCCCAAUGUCACGAAAACAGGACGACAGCCUUAUGCAAGUGAAUGUCUGAUAAUGAGCCGCAUCAAGUCUUCCUUCAGGAAGCCAGAGAGCAUGAUGCCUCCUCAGGGGCCUUGUGGACUCCCAACAGCUGUGGGAUGAGGAGUUGCCACUGAACACAUUGAGGUCAGUGAUCUAUUACACUGUCUGGGGUAUUG